This 712-nucleotide ribosomal RNA is filed under the name uncultured Acidobacteriota bacterium. Its description in RNAcentral is "bacterial SSU rRNA". It matches the Rfam family "Bacterial small subunit ribosomal RNA", at positions 32 to 775 of the family's 1533-position model. Lineage: Bacteria; Pseudomonadati; Acidobacteriota. The record is from RNAcentral.
AACGCUGGCGGCGUGCCUAACACAUGCAAGUCGAACGAGAAAGUGGAGCCAAUCCAUGAGUAAAGUGGCGCACGGGUGAGUAACACGUGACUAACCUACCCUGGAGUGGGGGAUAACUGAGGGAACCCUUAGCUAAUACCGCAUAAUACCCACGGGUCAAAGGAGCAAUUCGCUUCAGGAGGGGGUCGCGGCCGAUUAGUUAGUUGGCGGGGUAAUGGCCCACCAAGACUGUGAUCGGUAUCCGGCCUGAGAGGGCGCACGGACACACUGGAACUGAAACACGGUCCAGACUCCUACGGGAGGCAGCAGUGGGGAAUUUUGCGCAAUGGGGGAAACCCUGACGCAGCAACGCCGCGUGGAGGAUGAAGUACUUCGGUACGUAAACUCCUUUCGAUCGGGACGAUUAUGACGGUACCGGAAGAAGAAGCCCCGGCUAACUUCGUGCCAGCAGCCGCGGUAAUACGAGGGGGGCAAGCGUUGUUCGGAAUUAUUGGGCGUAAAGGGUGCGUAGGCGGUUUGGUAAGUCUUAUGUGAAAUCUAUGGGCUCAACUCAUAGACUGCAUGAGAAACUGCCGGGCUUGAGUGUGGGAGAGGUGAGUGGAAUUUCCGGUGUAGCGGUGAAAUGCGUAGAUAUCGGAAGGAACACCUGUGGCGAAAGCGGCUCACUGGACCACAACUGACGCUGAUGCACGAAAGCUAGGGGAGCAAACAG